RNAcentral lists this ribosomal RNA (487 nucleotides) under uncultured bacterium. RNAcentral's name for it is "bacterial SSU rRNA". It matches the Rfam family "Bacterial small subunit ribosomal RNA", at positions 28 to 507 of the family's 1533-position model. The record is from RNAcentral.
GACGAACGCUGGCGGCGUGCUUAACACAUGCAAGUCGAACGAAAAGAGGGGAAGAGCUUGCUCUUUUCAGAAUUGAGUGGCAAACGGGUGAGUAACACGUAAACAACCUGCCUUCAGGAUGGGGACAACAGACGGAAACGACUGCUAAUACCGAAUAAGUUCCAAGAGCCGCAUGGCCCAUGGAAGAAAAGGUGGCCUCUACCUGUAAGCUAUCGCCUGAAGAGGGGUUUGCGUCUGAUUAGCUGGUUGGAGGGGUAACGGCCCACCAAGGCGACGAUCAGUAGCCGGUCUGAGAGGGUGAACGGCCACAUUGGGACUGAGACACGGCCCAAACUCCUACGGGAGGCAGCAGUGGGGAAUAUUGCACAAUGGGGGAAACCCUGAUGCAGCGACGCCGCGUGAGUGAUGAAGUAUUUCGGUAUGUAAAACUCUAUCAGCAGGGAAGAUAAUGACGGUACCUGACUAAGAAGCACCGGCUAAAUACGUG